RNAcentral lists this unclassified non-coding RNA (266 nucleotides) under rhizosphere metagenome. RNAcentral describes it as "partial ribosomal RNA internal transcribed spacer region". The record is from RNAcentral.
GUAGGUGAACCUGCGGAAGGAUCAUUAACACAAUACAUUUACCCAAAUGUAUUUUAACCCCCCUUUGCAAACCUGUUUCAUAUUGUUUUCCCGGAUUUGGAGCUUGUACGUGAGUACACACUUUGAAUCUGUGGUUUCAGACCUUUAUAUAACCCCUUGAACUGUCUUUGACUGAAACUCUGAGCUAUGACAAACUUCAAAACUUGUCAUGUCUCUGCCAUAUAUCAAACGCUGAACAACUCUUAGCAACGGAUAUCUUGGCUCUU